AGCGAACGCUGGCGGCAGGCCUAACACAUGCAAGUCGAACGGAUCCUUCGGGAUUAGUGGCGGACGGGUGAGUAACACGUGGGAACGUGCCCUAUGGUUCGGCACAACUCAGGGAAACUUGAGCUAAUAACGGAUGUGCCCUUCGGGUGAAAGAUUUAUCGCCAUUGUAGCGGCCCGCGCCUGAUUAGCUAGUUGGUGAGGUAACGGCCCACCAAGGCGACGAUCAGUAGCUGGUCUGAGAGGAUGAUCAGCCACACUGGGACUGAGACACGGCCCAGACUCCUACGGGAGGCAGCAGUGGGGAAUCUUGCGCAAGGGGCGAAAGCCUGACGCAGCCAUGCCGCGUGAAUGAUGAAGGUCUUAGGAUUGUAAAAUUCUUUCAGCGGGGACGAUAAUGACGGUACCCGCAGAAGAAGCUCCGGCUAACUUCGUG
This 433-nucleotide ribosomal RNA is filed under the name uncultured bacterium. RNAcentral's name for it is "partial 16S ribosomal RNA". It matches the Rfam family "Bacterial small subunit ribosomal RNA", at positions 29 to 507 of the family's 1533-position model. The record is from RNAcentral.